RNAcentral lists this long non-coding RNA (1364 nucleotides) under Homo sapiens (human). RNAcentral describes it as "non-protein coding lnc-TRIB1-4:2". Lineage: Eukaryota; Metazoa; Chordata; Mammalia; Primates; Hominidae. The record is from RNAcentral.
GCUGUACACAGGAAACCACACAUUCAAAAUAAUGCUAACCUGUCAAGUUAUUGAUCUGCACUGUACAUAUUUCCUGGUCAUAGGCAGCUUCCACACAAGAACAUCUGGAUGCAAAUUAAAGAAUUCAAUUACUCAAGCCUAAGUGAUAGAGGAGACCUCGGCUACUCUGCCUGAGCACAUCACUGCUGGAUCUCAAAAUCUGCAAGAACUUCCUAGGGCUUCAGGAACUUUCAUGUGCAUACCAGUCACCUGGGAAUCUUGUUACGAUGCAUAUUCUUUUUCAGUAAGCCCAAAUUCUGCAAUUCUUAUAAGGUCUUAGGGGACAUGAUGUUUGCUUCUAGUGGUCCAUGGUCUACUCCUGAAGGUCCACCAUGCCCAGCUUCAUCUCCCCACCCUCUGGAAACUCUCCUGUACCCAAGCCACUUGCUCUCUUCUAAAUAGGCAUUGUGUUCCCAUGUUCCCAUGUGUCUGCCUCUUUCAACUUCUCCUCUAAAAAUUCUCCAUGACCCCCAAGCAUAAGCCUCCAGCAGCAAGCUCAAAAAUGCUUUCUACUCUGUUGUGUUGCCCGGCCCACUUCAAGAGUAGAUGCUCAAUUCCUUCUUCCCCUAGUCGUAUUUGCUGCUACUUUUGCAGGCUGCUGGAACACUUUCACUCUGAGGAUUCUGAUGAACACAGUUCUUGCCCUCUUCACUUUUCCAAUCUGGUUGCAGGCACAGCGGGGGACAGCAGGAGUGCAACACAGUAACUUAAUAUAAUAUGGAGCUGCUAUUAUGGAGGGAAACAUUCACUGCUCUGAAAGGACUCAACAGCUGAGUCUUAAAGAAGGAUUUUACAAGAUUGACAAAGAAAUGGGUUAUCUCCAGAUAGGAAGGAAAAAUCACAAGGAAUAGUACAGCAAGGAAAGAGGAAACAGCACUGGACUUGGGGAAAAGGGAAAUCCUUGAGAUGUUGCUAAGGCAUAAAGAGCAAGACAGAGAGUGUCAGAAGAUGACACUGACGUCACCUGACUCCUGCUGCUGAGCUUCUCUGACAUUUUCUCAAGGGCUCAAGGCUUGGAUACCCUCUGAUAUGGUUUAUCUGUGUCCCCGCCCAAAUCUCACCUUGGUUUGUAAUCAUCUCCAUGUGUCAAGAAUGGGACCAGGUGGAGAUAAUUGAAUCAUGGGGGCAGUUUCCCACAUACUGUUCACAUGGUAGUAAAUAAGUCUCAUGAGCUCUGAUGGUUUUAUAAAUGGGAGUUCCCCUGCACAGGCUCUUUUUGCCUGCCACCAUGGAAGACACCCCUUUGCCCUUCCUUUAUUUUCUGCCACAAUUGUGAGGCCUCCCUAGCUAUGUGGAAUUGUGAGUGCAUUAAACCUCUUUCCUUU